RNAcentral lists this ribosomal RNA (228 nucleotides) under uncultured bacterium. RNAcentral's name for it is "partial 16S ribosomal RNA". It matches the Rfam family "Bacterial small subunit ribosomal RNA", at positions 122 to 334 of the family's 1533-position model. The record is from RNAcentral.
CAACCUGCCCUUCAGAGGGGGACAACAGUUGGAAACGACUGCUAAUACCGCAUACGAUCUAACCUCGGCAUCGAGGAUGGAUGAAAGGUGGCCUCUAUUUAUAAGCUAUCACUGAAGGAGGGGAUUGCGUCUGAUUAGCUAGUUGGAGGGGUAACGGCCCACCAAGGCGAUGAUCAGUAGCCGGUCUGAGAGGAUGAACGGCCACAUUGGGACUGAGACACGGCCCAA